Molecule: transfer RNA, 64 nt
Filed under: Hieroglyphus tonkinensis
Lineage: Eukaryota; Metazoa; Arthropoda; Insecta; Orthoptera; Acrididae
Description: tRNA-Pro
Source: RNAcentral
CAGGGGUUAGUUUAUAAAAAUAUUGGUUUUGGGGACCAAAGAUAGGGAUCUUCCCUACCCCUGA